This 460-nucleotide ribosomal RNA is filed under the name uncultured bacterium. Its description in RNAcentral is "partial 16S ribosomal RNA". It matches the Rfam family "Bacterial small subunit ribosomal RNA", at positions 338 to 795 of the family's 1533-position model. The record is from RNAcentral.
CCUACGGGAGGCAGCAGUGAGGAAUAUUGGUCAAUGGGCGCGAGCCUGAACCAGCCAAGUCGCGUGAGGGAAGACGGUCCUAUGGAUUGUAAACCUCUUUUGUCGGGGAGCAAAAGACGCCACGCGUGGCGUUCCGAGAGUACCCGAAGAAAAAGCAUCGGCUAACUCCGUGCCAGCAGCCGCGGUAAUACGUAUGGUGCAAGCGUUAUCCGGAUUUACUGGGUGUAAAGGGAGCGCAGGCGGCACGGCAAGCCUGAUGUGAAAGCCCGCGGCCCAACCGCGGGACUGCAUUGGGAACUACCGGGCUGGAGUGCCGGAGAGGUAGGCGGAAUUCCUAGUGUAGCGGUGAAAUGCGUAGAUAUUAGGAGGAACACCAGUGGCGAAGGCGGCCUACUGGACGGUGACUGACGCUGAGGCUCGAAAGCGUGGGGAGCAAACAGGAUUAGAUACCCGGGUAGUC